AUUGAACGCUGGCGGCAUGCCUUACACAUGCAAGUCGAACGGUAACAGGUCUUCGGAUGCUGACGAGUGGCGAACGGGUGAGUAAUACAUCGGAACGUGCCCGAUCGCGGGGGAUAACGAGGCGAAAGCUUUGCUAAUACCGCAUACGAUCUACGGAUGAAAGCGGGGGAUCUUCGGACCUCGCGCGGACGGAGCGGCCGAUGGCAGAUUAGGUAGUUGGUGGGAUAAAAGCUUACCAAGCCGACGAUCUGUAGCUGGUCUGAGAGGAUGAUCAGCCACACUGGGACUGAGACACGGCCCAGACUCCUACGGGAGGCAGCAGUGGGGAAUUUUGGACAAUGGGCGAAAGCCUGAUCCAGCCAUGCCGCGUGCAGGAUGAAGGCCUUUGGGUUGUAAACUGCUUUUGUACGGAACGAAAAGCCUCUUUCUAAUAAAGAGGGGUCAUGACGGUACCGUAAGAAUAAGCACCGGCUAACUACGUG
This 482-nucleotide ribosomal RNA is filed under the name uncultured bacterium. Its description in RNAcentral is "partial 16S ribosomal RNA". It matches the Rfam family "Bacterial small subunit ribosomal RNA", at positions 30 to 507 of the family's 1533-position model. The record is from RNAcentral.